Molecule: long non-coding RNA, 1123 nt
Organism: Mustela erminea (ermine)
Lineage: Eukaryota; Metazoa; Chordata; Mammalia; Carnivora; Mustelidae
Exons: 7
Source: RefSeq, a predicted model, not a curated record
GAUCCGGCAGAACCAAAUAUAGUCGAGCCUGGAUAUUUUUAGCCGGGCCUCGGGCGCGAGCCCGCCGCGUGAGGGGGCGCCCUGACCCCGCCAGGAGUGCGGAGGGGGCGGGGGCGGAGUCGCCAUCUUGGACCCGGCUCGACCCUGUCUAGUGACCGGCGGCGCUGGGCCAGGCUCUGCGCAGGGGGUCGGGGGUCUCACUGAAGUCCUCCAUUCUUCUCAAGUCCACUCCGGUCAUGAUGAGUGUCAGGUGCUGCCUGGGGUAGAAACCAGUGACUACAAAGCUGUAAAGGAAAAGGGUUAGUGUCUGAGCGUCUGCAGUCACACCUGUGUGUUCUUUCAGGCUCUGCAUAUUCACCUCAGCGGACAACACGAGUGCUGCCUCAAAUGAAACUUCUCUUGACUACCUCCUCUGCCACCCCCAAUGUAAAAGAGCUACCUGUGACGGGAAGAAAACCAGAACUUAGGUUACCAGACCUGGCGUGACUCUUGCUCUGUCACCGGGAGGAUUCAUAAAAAUCACGUUCCUGCUCCUUUCCAGGAAAAUGCAAUUACCUGCCUCAAGGACUGCUAGGGUGGCUGGAUGACCCGGCCCGUGUAAAUAAAAAGGUGAAAUACAGUGCCAGGCCUCGAACCAGGGCUGCAGACAAGAGAGACAGCACAUCUCGCUUCGAUGAACUCACAGUCUGGUGGGGAAAUGGAUACUGAAAAAUCCGUCAUGAGUGUGACUCGGGGCCUGGAGGAGGACAGAUGUCUUCUCCAAGAAAACCACUCUGCCCCUGAAGUGUGAUGGGGGUUGCCCUAGGAGGGUUGGGGUUUCCGUUGGCAUUCACAGAAACAAGAAUAUUGACUAAAGAAAAUUCCAGAUGCAGACUGGAACCAGCUUCUGAUGUUCUGGUGUUCAUCCGUGCCUGGCUUGGAAUAAAAAACUCCAUACAUUUGGAUUUUUCCUAAACCAGGACAUACUAUCUUAUUGGGGCAAAAAUGUUCCCUCCAUAUCCAUAACAAAUCAUUCUCCUCAGAUUUAGCUCUAGAUAGUUUUGCCAUGACCUUAGAGGACAUCAUGCUUAUGAGCAUGAAUUCAGAAGUUUUAUAGAUUGAAUUAUAUAUUUUUUAAAGUUUU